This 254-nucleotide ribosomal RNA is filed under the name uncultured bacterium. RNAcentral describes it as "partial 16S ribosomal RNA". It matches the Rfam family "Bacterial small subunit ribosomal RNA", at positions 524 to 776 of the family's 1533-position model. The record is from RNAcentral.
UACAGAGGUCCCAAGCGUUGUUCGGAUUCACUGGGCGUAAAGAGCUCGUAGGUGGUUCGGUAAGUCGGAUGUGAAAUCUCCAGGCUCAACCUGGAGGGGUCAUUCGAUACUGCCGUGACUAGAGGUCGGUAGGGGAGUGUGGAAUUCCUGGUGGAGCGGUGAAAUGCGCAGAUAUCAGGAGGAACACCCGUAGCGAAGGCGGCACUCUGGGCCGAUACUGACGCUGAUGCGCGAAAGCCAGGGGAGCGAACGGG